Molecule: ribosomal RNA, 253 nt
Filed under: uncultured bacterium
Lineage: Bacteria
Description: partial 16S ribosomal RNA
Rfam family: Bacterial small subunit ribosomal RNA
Source: RNAcentral
UACGUAGGGGGCAAGCGUUGUCCGGAAUCAUUGGGCGUAAAGCGCACGUAGGCGGUCCGCUAUGUCGGAUGUGAAAGCCUCGGGCUUAACCCGAGAAGGGCAUCCGAAACUGGCCGGCUUGAGUACGGAAGAGGGUCUCGGAAUUCCCGGUGUAGAGGUGAAAUUCGUAGAUAUCGGGAGGAACACCAGUGGCGAAGGCGGAGACCUGGGCCGAUACUGACGCUGAGGUGCGAAAGCGUGGGGAGCAAACAGG